RNAcentral lists this ribosomal RNA (460 nucleotides) under uncultured bacterium. RNAcentral describes it as "partial 16S ribosomal RNA". It matches the Rfam family "Bacterial small subunit ribosomal RNA", at positions 338 to 795 of the family's 1533-position model. The record is from RNAcentral.
CCUACGGGAGGCAGCAGUGAGGAAUAUUGGUCAAUGGCCGGAAGGCUGAACCAGCCAUGCCGCGUGAAGGUCAGUGCCCUAUGGGCGUUAAACUUCUUUUGUGCGGGAGCAAUAAUGGUCACGUGUGGCCAGACGAGAGUACCGUACGAAUAAGCAUCGGCUAACUCCGUGCCAGCAGCCGCGGUAAUACGGGGGAUACAAGCGUUAUCCGGAUUUAUUGGGGUUAAAGGGUGCGUAGGCUGUGAGGUAAGUCAGCGGUGAAAUGCCCCCGCUCAACGGGGUGAAGUGCCAUUGAUACUGCCUUGCUGGAAUGCGGAUGCCGUGGGAGGAAUGUGUGGUGUAGCGGUGAAAUGCAUAGAUAUCACACAGAACACCGAUUGCGAAGGCAUCUCACGAAUCCGCGAUUGACGCUGAUGCACGAAAGCGUGGGUAUCAAACAGGAUUAGAUACCCGUGUAGUC